GAAAUCAGGUGGCUUUCCCUUUCGACAGACCGUAACCCGUGAACUCCUCUGCUAGAUAAGCUGUAAUAUUCCCUGACAGAAUUCCUAUAGCCGAAUCAUCAGUUCUGUGACUAAGUCCCUGCCCUUGUCACACCGCCGUCGCUACUACCGAUGAUGAUUAGUGAGUUUCGACUGGCGCUCGAGCGGCUUCGGGUCGCGCGGCGUGCGAAAAAGAUACCCAAACUUGAUUCAUUUAAGGGAAGUAAAGUGUGAACCACGAGUUUUCCAAGGGAGUCCAAAGCCCCGCCGCGGAAACAGAUGUUUCCGGGGAUUAAUCAAGAACGAAAGUUAGAGGUUCGAAGGCGAUCAGAUACCGCCCUAGUUCUAACCAUAAACGAUGCCAGCCAGCGAUCCGGCUGUGUUCCUCAAAUGACACGCCGGGCAGCUUCCGGGAAACCAAAGCUUUUGGGUUCCGGGGGAAGUAUGGUUGCAAAGCUGAAACUUAAAGGAAUUGACGGAAGGGCACCACCAGGAAUGGAGCUUGCGGUUUAAUUUGACUCAACACGGGACAACCUACCCGGCCCGGACACAGGAAGGAUUGACAGAUUAAGAGCUCUUUCUUGAUUCUGUGGGUGGUGGUGCAUGGCCGUUCUUAGUUGGUGGACUGAUUUGUCUGGUUAAUUCCGUUAACGAACGAGACUCUAGCCUACUAAAUAGACGUUCCGAUUAUUUAUUUUUCGGACGUUCUUCUUAGAGGGACAAUCGGCGCUUAGCCCGAUGAGACAGAGCAAUAACAGGUCUGUUAUGCCCUUUGAUGUCCGGGGCCACACGCGUGCUACAUUGAAGGAAUCAGCGUGUGCUUUCCCUGUCCGACAGGACUGGGUAACCCGUUGAACCUCCUUCGUGCUGGGGAUAGGGGCUUGUAAUUAUUCCCCUUGAACGAGGAAUUCCUAGUAAGCGCGAAUCAUCAGUUCGUGUUGACUAAGUCCCUGCCCUUUGUCCACACCGCCCGUCGCUACUACCGAUUGAAUGAUUUAGUGAGGUCUUCGGACUGGCGCUCGGAGCGGCCUUCGGGUCGCGCCGGCGUGCCGGAAAGAUGACCAAACUUGAUCAUUUAGAGGAAGUAAAAGUCGACUGCCCAAGGUUUCCGUAGU
Molecule: ribosomal RNA, 1133 nt
Filed under: Allagelena difficilis
Lineage: Eukaryota; Metazoa; Arthropoda; Arachnida; Araneae; Agelenidae
Description: bacterial SSU rRNA
Rfam family: Eukaryotic small subunit ribosomal RNA
Source: RNAcentral